Non-coding RNA from Ilex paraguariensis (yerba mate), 114 nucleotides. The record is from the annotation of a GenBank genome assembly. Lineage: Eukaryota; Viridiplantae; Streptophyta; Magnoliopsida; Aquifoliales; Aquifoliaceae.
ACGAUCAUACUUGCACUAAUGCACCGGAUUCCAUCAGAACUCCUCAGUAAAACGUGCUUGGCGAAAAUAGUACUACGAUGGGUGACCUCCUGGGAAGUCCUCGUGUUGCACCCC